AGUGAACGCUGGCGGUAGGCCUAACACAUGCAAGUCGAACGGCAGCACAGUAAGAGCUUGCUCUUACGGGUGGCGAGUGGCGGACGGGUGAGGAAUACAUCGGAAUCUACUUUUUCGUGGGGGAUAACGUAGGGAAACUUACGCUAUACCGCAUACGACCUACGGGUGAAAGCAGGGGAUCUUCGGACCUUGCGCGAUUGAAUGAGCCGAUGUCGGAUUAGCUAGUUGGCGGGGUAAAGGCCCACCAAGGCGACGAUCCGUAGCUGGUCUGAGAGGAUGAUCAGCCACACUGGAACUGAGACACGGUCCAGACUCCUACGGGAGGCAGCAGUGGGGAAUAUUGGGCAAUGGGCGCAAGCCUGAUCCAGCCAUACCGCGUGGGUGAAGAAGGCCUUCGGGUUGUAAAGCCCUUUUGUUGGGAAAGAAAAGCAGCAGGUUAAUACCCCGCUGUUCUGACGGUACCCAAAGAAUAAGCACCGGCUAACUUCGUG
This 491-nucleotide ribosomal RNA is filed under the name uncultured bacterium. Its description in RNAcentral is "partial 16S ribosomal RNA". It matches the Rfam family "Bacterial small subunit ribosomal RNA", at positions 29 to 507 of the family's 1533-position model. The record is from RNAcentral.